This 8361-nucleotide long non-coding RNA is filed under the name Triticum aestivum (bread wheat). Its description in RNAcentral is "long non-coding RNA (TAES_LNC012912)". The record is from RNAcentral. Lineage: Eukaryota; Viridiplantae; Streptophyta; Magnoliopsida; Poales; Poaceae.
UAAUCCUCUGCCUUUAUAAACUAAGUUGAACUAAGUUAUAUCGUGAGUCAGUGAUGUAAUGGAUAAGUAGAUGUAGUUGACUGGGUUAAAUAUCGUGGUGUAAUGACGCAGUGAACUAAGUUAAUCGUGGUGUAAUGAUGUAGUGAACUAAGUUUAUUGUGAUGUAAUGAUGUGGUGCACUUUACAUUAUUGUUAUUAAGUAACUUGACUUGAUGACUUAUAAGUAAUGAUGUAGCGAAGUAAGUUAUUAUGUAUUAUAUACAAUAAUACAAUACAAUACAAUACUAAUACAAUGUGCACUUGGCGUAUGCAAAGCCAUCUUGCAAAUAUUUUAAUUUUGAGGAUAUUUAGAUAACACAGAAGUGACCAUGAGCAAUCAAUACAGACCAUGGAUAGAUAUGGUAGAAAAGUCCUUUAACAGUGACAUAUGUUCAUAUUUCUGCCUAAUACAUGUCCAACAAAACGCCAAGUGCACUAAUCUACUUUAAUUAUGCCAAAAAAUUAAGCCAACAAAUUCAGUAUAUAACACACCACCAUAUCCAACAAAACGCCAUGGCUGGCUGAGUUUUGUAUAUCAUGUUGCAUCCCCCCUCCGUCCUUCAAUGAAAAAGCAGAGCACCUACUAUCGCCCGUUCAAAAAUAAUACCGAUUUGAUGCUUCAGAGCAAACUUUGAUGCUUAGCAGUGUUGAUGUGUCUUUUCUGAAAUUUAUUUGCUCAUUGAACAUGCUGAACUGAAUUUGGAAACAUCUAAACCCACCUUUACUCAUGCAGGUGAUCAAUGAAGGUUUUAGUGAAGAAAUUAUACAAGUGCAAGCAGAUAAGUUCAUCUUGAAUGAUGGCACUUAAUUUUCCUAAACAGUCAAUACAUUGUUCUUAUAUUAACUAGCAUCCCUCUUCCAGCCUCAGCAUGACAUAGGACGGUCGCUCGAGAAUUGUCUAACUAUAAAAAGUUAAAAGGAUGAUGCUACACGCCCCAACCUCUGAAUCUUUUAUGGAGCUUGAAGGGAAGCCUGAGACCAGUAUUACAUGGUUGCUUCUGGGUUUGCAUUCUGUUUAAAUGUUAGUUUAUGUUGAAGUGACAUGAUGUUAACUUUCACUAUUUUGGUAGGCAUCAUACAAUUUUUCUGUCCUUUGUACUUGAUGCAUUUGUCACGCAGUUUUCUGUUGCUGCUAUCUUUCUUUUACCUGAAUGUUAAAAGGCUGGCAUCAGAUUUUUAAGGAUUCCGAGCAAACGACCUCAUGCAGGUCAGGUCCCGCGCACGAAUCCUAAAGUGAUUGCUGCAAACACAUCCUUUGAGAGAAUUAUGAGGUGAUGCCACUAAUUUGUUUGCUCAGGAUGUCAAUCUGAGCGAACACAUUCGUGAAUGAUGAUUUUUGUUUUUAGAGCAUGGCAAUUCUCAUCCUUUUCUGUUGAUGUAGCAUGACGAUUUCAUUCAGCUAGCAUGGCAAAUCUUGAGCAUGGCAAUUUUUAGUUUACCACAUGGCAACUCCUUAUACAACAUCACAAUUUUUGAGCAUUCCUUGGGAGUGUUUUUGUAGCGAACGGAAACGUCUGCUCAUUUGUGUGACAUCCAAACUUAAUAGAAAUGACAGAUUACUUAUAUCAACAAGAUGCACCUUCUUUUGGGCACCCAUUCGAGGAACCACACCAAAAAGACUAGUGUUGGUAUCUGGGGCCAUUCUAGAUCCCAGACGCUGUUGAAAAUAUGAGCAAUUUAUGAAAUGAUUUAAUUCAUAGAAAUAGUAAAUAAAACAUGACUAUAAUGACAGAGAUAGAACAAGUCGCGCAGUCUAAUAAAGAAUAUGCGAAUAGCUUCUCAAAUUGUCAAUUUGAACAGAACAUGUCCAAAACAAGAGCUAGAACAAGAAACUCUACCAUAAUCUUGAAUGCAACAGAGUGACCAUUCACGUUGGUGUUGAUGUUGUCGCCCAUAUUGUCAAAGAGGUUGUCAAUGUCGGGAAAGAAGUCGUCAUUGGAAAAGUGAUCCUUGAUGUCCAUGAUGAAGAGUUCAGUAGUCGCGCACAGCGCUCCCCAAAAACUUUAUCACCCUUCUCCCGUAUAGGAAUAGAAGUGGUGGGGUUUCAAAGGCCUACUGUCCCGACCUGCGAUACACGCCGCUAGCAGGGAUGGGGAAGAACCUAGCAGUAGCUCACUGCUUGCAACUCGGUGACAUGAGGCAGAUUUUGUUCUGGUGUGUCUCUCUGGAGUGGAGUGGCCUCUUUUUUAUAGGCACAGGAGGAGGAGGCGAACUGACAGUGACAGGAGGUGAAAUGAAGAAAUGGGAGAUGAAACGAACAAACAGUAGCCGAAGGGUGCAACAUUCGUAUUCAAUCUCCACUACAACAAAAAUGUUGCAUCUCCCAUGCGACCUUUCAUAUACCAAUUAUGCGUGACAAAAAUUUAGACACGGCGCGCGUCGUGGCGUGGCGGAUAGCGAAGGAGAGCGUGUAUGUCUCUCUUCUUCUCAUGCUCAUACAUAUGGGGACAUAACCUUUCUUAUAAGGAGGUCCAACUCCUACUAAACUAGCAAUGUGAGACUAAACUUUAGUCCCACAUCUUGCCUUGCAUGAAUGGGCUAAGUGGGCCUCUAGGAUUUAUUAGGAAUUCUAAAAAUGAUUAUCGGGCUGGCCAAAAUCAACUGAAUCACCAGAUCCCAGAGGCACACAAAAUUCGCCUUUGGUUCCAAAACACUGUUUAUAUACCGGUACUACAGUGGAGAUUGUUAAGUUGAACUACCACCUAGAACUCUAUGCUACACUAGUAAGCAACUUGAACGAUGGAGUAGGCCGCUACUGUGGGACUUCCCCGUAGGUGGAGAUUAUGCGUCAUACUCCGUGGCCUUUCAUGAGUUUACUAGAGAGCACCCUACUCUCAUAGAUUGCGACUUUUAACAAUCAAACUCAUAUAGGUGUGUUCUUCAAAAUAUAUUCUGUAGGACAACAUCUCUGCUGAAAUAAGCCACUCAAAACACAUUAAGAUAAACAUCAAGCUACCACGCAGAUUAGGAGAGUAUUGCAUCUUCGUGGAGUGGUAUUAUCAAUAGUAAGGAUAGUCUCCUCUAGGUUGACCAACAACGUGUCUUCCAAUUCUAAUUCAAGGGAUCUCUGAUCACAUAGAGUAGUUUACCAUUGUGAACAACUCAUAUUGUGGGUCUCAUGCCCAUUUCCUUCAAUGCAUUAUCUAUCACAGUACGUGAUAGAUCUACCAGAUUUUUAGAUGUUUGGAUAUAAUCCAACGCAGUAACUCCGGAGUUUCUCAUUUUCUGACUUUAAUCUUCUCUAUACAUGUCUUGAUGACUUCAUGUUAUCCUUCAAGCUACUCACUUUGGCGAUCAUAAUUUGAUUGUCGCAUUUCAUAAGGAUACCUAGUACAGGUUUCUUAACAACCGGCAGGUCAUUCAAAAGCCGACGAAGCCAAUCUGCUUUGACCAUAGUUGUAUCUAGUGUGUGACAUCUGCUUCCAUUGUUAACCUUGUUAAGAUGAUCUGCUUGCAAGACUUCCAAGAAACAACGCCACUCCAUGAGUGAAUACAUAUCCACUUGUGGUCUUUAUCUCAUCAGCAUCCGAAAUGCAGUUUGAAUCACUAUGCCCUUCAAGUACGAUUGGGUACCUAGUAUAGUGAAUUUCAUAACUCGCAGUGCCUUUUAGAUAACACAUUACUAUCUCUAGAGCUUUCCAAUGAUCAUCUCCCAGUGUUGAAACAAAUAGUCUCAGUUUGCUAACAUCAAAAGAGAUGCCAGGUCUCGUAGCGCUGUCUAAAUACAUAAGCAAGCCAAUAAUUUGAGAAUAUUUCAGUUGAUCUCCAGAAAUCCUUUGAUGCUUUCGAAGCAACACGCUAGCAUCAUAUGGUGUUGGAGAGGGCUUACCGUCACUAUAGCCAAAGCGACUCAAGAUCUUUUCCACAUAGUGAGGUUGAAGCAACGUAAUCCUACCAUCACCAUCUCUCAAUAGAUUGAUGUCGGAAUAACAUCAGCUACUCCUAAAUCCUUCAUCUCAAAACAAUGAGAUGGAAAAUCAUUGACCUUCGUCACAACAUUCAAAUUUGUCUCGAAAAUCAAUAUGGCAUCAACAUGCAAGCAACGGAUAACUCCCUCACCCCCACCGUGGCGAUAGUACACACAUUUGUCAUCUUUGUUUAUAACAAAGCCUGCAUCAGUUAAAGUUCUUUCAAACUUCUCAUGCCACUUCAUAGGUGCUUGCUUAAGCCCAUAGAAAGACUUUAACAAUCUGCACACCUUUCUUUUCUGACCGUCCACUACAAACCCAUCUAGAUGUUCUAUGUAAAUUUUCUCAUCCAACACCCCAUUUAGAAAAGCAAUCUUAACAUCCAUUUGAGGAACGGCUAGUGAAAGUAGUAUUCGAAUAGUGGUGGUCAAUCGAGCCACAGGUGAGUAAGUAUCAAAGAAGUCUUCACCUUCGUUUUGGGUAUAACCCUUGGUUGCGAGUUGUGCCUUAAUUAUACUCCCCAAUAGUACCAUCAGUGAUGAGGCACGGACUAGCGAGACGCUAAUUUGUGCGUGUAGACGGCCCGAUCUUUCACGGCGAUGCUUGAUCAACAGUUCGUCCCUCUGUUCCUCCUCGCAACCUCCAAGAAUAAUUUUCACCCGUGUACAAAAAUACACGAACAAAAAUAAUGAUCCCCUCGGAUCAGCACGUAGGCAUCGAUAUUGAUGAUCAACCCUUCGUCACUAGGAAAUUUCCAUGAUGGGAAAAUCUCAAAUGAUAUACAAGAUAUAGCCGCCCAAAACCUGGACGUUUUACUGUGUUAUUCCUGUCUCACAAAUAAACUCAAAAACUGAUUUUACAUCGGCCAAAGCCUGGCCUUUUAUGUGGCCGAACUCCCGUACGCUAAGAAAAAUCCAGAGACUAAAUUACGUGACAAACUAGCACAACUCAAAAGGAAAUAUAUCUUUUUUUAUUUGGACCUGGACUCUAAAAUAACUAAUUAACUUGCAUGCAACAUAAUUCCCUUGCCAUGCAAACUAAGAUCAAUUGAGCCAACCCGUAUCCAAUCAGGUGGCGUACGAAACUUUGGCUCCACCUUGUCACGUAAAGGCUCUCAUUUUAUCUCUGGUCUCCUCCUUUGCUGCAGAUCCAUUAGCCUAUAUGAUUUUAACUGCUGAUUCAAUCCACCCCAGCGUCCUGGUUUUUUAUAGUCCAAAUCUGUUCGUACUAUACAACCAUGCAUCAACUUGUCAAUCACAUCUCUUGAAUGUAAUGCGUGCACCACGCAAUUGAUCUUUGGCCUGUUAAUUACAGAAUUUAUUCUUGGUCCACACAACUGACGCACACGAUCAUCUUUUCCUCGAUGAAAUAUGGCUGCAUGCACGUCAUUAUUUUCUGCAACUUUUCCAUGCCUUAAUUCUUUAACUAUCUCAGAUUGAGUAACAUCAUCAAUUGAUGUUGUGGUGCUCAUAUCAAUCAGGCCUAUUGAGCAUAUGACAUUUUGUUGUUUGUGAUGCAUCCGAUGUUUUUUGGUUGUGAUACAUCCUCAAAAAAUGCUAUCGAUUCAAAUGGAGGAGCCCGGACAGGGGCGAACGUUUGGUACACAGGGUUGGAUGACCGUUUGUCGUAUCCGUGUCCACAAAAGUUUGAUAUGUAUGUUUUGAUGUACACCGUUCGAGAUGCCCUAAAUAUGCUAGCAAAGCUGAAAAAAUUGGCGUCCAUCCAAAUAGUUGUCUAAAGUGUAGUCAACAUUUUUUUUUUCUGUUGGGCACUCCAAGGCAUCGAUCCAAACAGCCCCGUAGAGAUAGAUCUUUAAAAUCAGUGGAGAUAGAAUGUUGAUUUUAAAAUCAAAUUUUGGCAGUAUACUUAUUCUAAAUGAAAUACAUUAUUUUACCAACUAAAUCACCCCUAAAAAAUUGUGUGCAAAUUAGAAAAAAAUCCUCCAAUGAAAUUUAUGUAUUUUUGGCAACGUUUUUUUCUUGCUGCUUUUUUUUUGAAACUGUUUUUUUUCUUAUUGCUAACGGACACCCCAGGGGCUGCCUAGGCUGACACGUUACUUAGAGUCUUGGACCUUGGCCCAGCCCAAAGCAGCUCGGCGGCGCUCUAGGGUUUGCUCGAUUAGCUCGGCGGCGGCGGCGGUGGCGGUGGCGGCGGUUGGCGAAUUGGCGAUGGCAUCUGUAGAGGAGUUGGAGGAUGAGGAGGAGGAGGUGGAGGGCUUAGAGCCUUUAUUGUACGACCGGGCGAAGUGGGUGGCCUGGGCGGUGGAGGAGAAGGAGAGGUCCCGGCGGGAGGAAGAGGAGAAGACUCGGAAGCGGGAGGAGAACCGGCGGAGAAGCGAGGCACACGACAAGGUCAUGGACUCCAUCAUCGAGCACGAUCCCAAGGCCGGGCGCGACGUCUACACCCGGUUUUUCCUCAGAGACUUCUCCGUCUUCGACAUCGAUGAGGAGUGUAAGUUGCCUCUAUCUUCAUCCUCAAUGAAGGUGGAGUACUGUUUUUUUUUUGGCUGUUAUGUGUACAUUUCUGAUGUACGGUAUGUAUGGGAGCUGAAUUACGUUACAGUAGGAUGUUUCACCUGUAUAAUUGUCUAUAUAUCAGGAGAAUCCUCUGACAUGCCAUGUUCUCUUCAUUAUUGAUGCAUAGCAGUGAACAGUGAAUCUCAAUCCGUUUACUGGAUUGGAUUCAGAUGUAUCAAUUGACAACAGGAACUCGCUGAUUUGGCUAAACCAGAAAUUAACUUUGUACAGAUGGUGAGAUGAUAGUUUUCUCUUGAAGUUAACAGUGAAUCUCAAUUCAUAUAGAUAGAUUUGAUUCAUAUGUUUAUCGCUUAACAACAGGAAUCACUGAUUUCGCUAAAAUUGAAAUUAACUUGGUUCGAAUGGUGAGAUGAUAGCUUUCUCUUGAAGUUAACUCAGUAAGUGAAAUACGAAUAUUAGAUGGUUUAACUCAGCGGGAUGUAAAUGGGAAGAACACAAACUGGGACUGUUUGUUGUGAUGAAAUAAUUUGAUAUUUUGCUCAUUCAUUGCAGCGUCUGUCCCUCCAAUGCGAUACUCUGAUAGUGUCUACCAAGAUGAAUUUGGGCUAGAAGACUCUGCAAACAUCCUCUCCGUUAGCAUAAUCUCCUCAGAUGUAGGCUUCCCAGUCGAUGUCUAUGGCCGCGUCAUUGCCAGAGAUAGCAUUGACUACAAGUGCAUUUAUCUCUUUCACCGCAAUAGGGAUGAUUGCCAGCGUCUCAACGAGGUACAUCCUUUGCUUCUAAGUUCGUUCCAAUCGGGUUUCGUUUUAUCAGGUGAUGCAUUUAAUAUGAACUGUUAAUUGGCAUCUAAAUGGAGUCAUCUUAGUGCUGGUGGUUGUCGAUCCAGACAGUCAUCUGCAUAUAAAUGGAGUAGCUUUUAUGGCAUGCUUCCAAUCUUCAUUUUGAGCAGUGUUUGGAUGAGCAUACUCUAACCUCUCGUGCAAUUCUUUUCAUAGGAUGGAAUGCUGAUUUUAACUGGCCCAUAUCGAGGUCUAGUGCUGGUUGAUUUCAUCUAUCUAGAGAUAGAUCUUAAAAUAAGGGAAGAAGGAGUUCCAGACAGGCCAUUUAGCAAGGGUCUAAUAAGCAUUGAUGGCCGAGUACUGUCUAGAGAGAAAGAUGUCAUGGUUAGAAGUGAAACCCUUGAGAGCUGGCUCAGCACUACAGAAGUGAGAUUCACAACUGUCCUGAACGCAGUCGAAUGCACCUUUGAAAUCAAGCUCAUUGAGGGGCUUUUUAAAGGAAAUAUAACAGUUGGCAUUGCGGAUAAAGCUCGCAAGCUGGACAAUGAACAAACGAUUGUGAUUCAUGAUAGCACAGCAGAUGGCGUGGUUACAAGUGAUGAAAGUGGAGUUAUCAAACUCCGGCGAAGUGUCAUUACUAUCUGUCUGGAAAGAAAUGUGAUGUUUCGCAUAAAUAAUGAGGCUGCUGGUGUUUGUGCUGAACGAACCUUUGAUUUAAGUCCACGGCGCACUGGUGCAGAUGAAUUGGAAAUUACGUGUGGUGCUGGGAAGUUCGGAUUCAGGGUCGUCUGGUCCUUGAUGGACUUUAGGCUGUAAUCUUGUGCCUUUAUAAACCAAGUUGAACUAAGUUAUAUCGCGAGUCAGUGAUGUAAUGGAUCAAGUAGAUGUAGUGGACUGAGUUAUAUCGUGGUGGAAUGAUGCAGUGAACUAAGUUAAUCGUGGUGUAAUAAUGCAGUGAACUAAGUUAAUUGUGAUGUAAUGGUGUGGUGCACUAAGUUAUAUUAUUGUUAUUAGGUAACUUGAUGGAUUAUAAGUAAUGAUGUAGCGAACUAAAUUAUAAUGUAUUAUGGUGGCGUGUUAUACCGAAUUUGUUGGUUUAAUUUUUUGGCAUAAUCAAAGCAGAUUAGCGCACUUGGCAUUUUGUUAGACAUGUAUUAG